RNAcentral lists this ribosomal RNA (223 nucleotides) under uncultured bacterium. RNAcentral's name for it is "partial 16S ribosomal RNA". It matches the Rfam family "Bacterial small subunit ribosomal RNA", at positions 328 to 539 of the family's 1533-position model. The record is from RNAcentral.
ACGCUCGACACCUACGGGAGCAGCAGUAGGGAAUCUUCCACAAUGGGCGCAAGCCUGAUGGAGCAACACCGCGUGAGUGAAGAAGGGUUUCGGCUCGUAAAGCUCUGUUGUUGGAGAAGAACGUGCGUGAGAGUAACUGUUCACGCAGUGACGAUAUCCAACCAGAAAGUCAUGGCUAACUACGUCGCCAGCAGCCGCGGUAAUCUGAGCGGGCUGGCAAGGC